CAUUAUGAAAAACUGAACACAUUUAUUCAAUUUCCAACAAUCACCAAUUAGAAAUGGGCUUAAAUGACAAUACAAAGAAAGCUAUAAGCAAACAUUUUGACAGGGGGAUGUGAAGAAUUAGAACAAACUGCUUAGGAAACUACAGUGUGUGCCUGUGUUUGUGUCGUGUGUGUGUGUGUGUGUGUGUGUGUGUGCAGAUACUGUCUCUUUACACACAGAAGUACAAUGCUUGCAUCUUGGUACACAGACUUUGUGAUAGGUUUUUUUCCUUGUCAUGAGCCUUUUUGCCAUGAAGGAGCCAGUAUGGGAAAGUGGUUAAGAACAUGAGAUCUUAAGUCAAAUUCCUGGGGUCUGAAUCCCGACUCUCCAUCAUUAGUUGUGUGACACAUGCAAAGGACUUAUCACUGAGAAUGGCACAUG
RNAcentral lists this long non-coding RNA (420 nucleotides) under Homo sapiens (human). RNAcentral's name for it is "SMARCA2 antisense RNA 1 (SMARCA2-AS1)". The record is from RNAcentral. Lineage: Eukaryota; Metazoa; Chordata; Mammalia; Primates; Hominidae.